UACGGGGGGUGCGAGCGUUGUCCGGAAUCACUGGGCGUAAAGGGCGCGUAGGUGGCUUGGCAAGCGCGUGGUGAAAGCCCGGGGCUCAACCCCGGGUCUGCCGUGCGAACUGCUAUGGCUUGAGCACUGUAGAGGCAGGUAGAAUUCCGGGUGUAGCGGUGGAAUGCGUAGAGAUCCGGAAGAAUACCGGUGGCGAAAGCAGCUCUCUGGGACGGUACUGACGCUGAGGCGCGAAAGCGUGGGGAGCAAACAGG
This 254-nucleotide ribosomal RNA is filed under the name uncultured bacterium. RNAcentral's name for it is "partial 16S ribosomal RNA". It matches the Rfam family "Bacterial small subunit ribosomal RNA", at positions 524 to 776 of the family's 1533-position model. The record is from RNAcentral.